UACAGAGGGUGCAAGCGUUGUUCGGAAUUAUUGGGCGUAAAGCGCGUGUAGGCGGCCUUGCAAGUCGGGUGUGAAAGCCCUCAGCUCAACUGAGGAAGCGCGCCCGAAACUGCAGAGCUUGAGUACCGGAGAGGAUGGCGGAAUUCCCCAAGUAGAGGUGAAAUUCGUAGAUAUGGGGAGGAACACCGGUGGCGAAGGCGGCCAUCUGGACGGAUACUGACGCUGAGACGCGAAAGCGUGGGGAGCGAACAGG
Molecule: ribosomal RNA, 253 nt
Filed under: uncultured bacterium
Lineage: Bacteria
Description: partial 16S ribosomal RNA
Rfam family: Bacterial small subunit ribosomal RNA
Source: RNAcentral